AGGUAAGAGGACAAGCAGGGGGACAGGCCGGGGGAUGGGGGCCAGGCCGGGGGCCAGGCAGGGGGGUGAGCCAGGGGGAUCGGGGUGGGGCAAGAAGAGCAGACAGGACAAGCAAGGCACUUGAGGGAAGGUGGAAACCAGGUUCUGGAGGCAGCAUUGGAUGAAUGCGUGUGUGCUUGCGUGUGUGAGUGCACGUGUGCGCUGUAUGCGUGUGAACAUGCGUGUGCGCGUGCACGCUCCCUUCUGUUUGCUGCUCCUCCUUCCAAACUGCGGGCCGUCCUGUGAACCAGCAGGAGGAGGGUGUACGAGGUGUGCAGGGGCGGGGCGGCCGUGGGGUGGCCCGGGGAGCCAGGACCCCUGCGCGUGGACCCUGCACCCACACCUGGAGCCAGAGAAGGCGGCGGCAGGUGCACCCCCGGCAAACACCAGGAAAUCCUCACUCUCGGGGCCGUGGCGAGGGUAGCGGGGCCGACAGGACCACGGGGCUGUGACCGUCGUCGGAGCUCCCUGCUGCCACCCAGGGGCCUGGCCUCUGUGACGCGCCGUGGCUGCUUGCCGGGUCCGCUCUGCCUUACGCGGCGCCCACUGGCCCUUUGCCGGCGCGGGUGGAGGCGGUCCUUGAAGCAAGGACGCAUCUAGGACCUGCGACUGGGGGACGCUGUGCCCCCCGCCUGGCUGGCGCUCGGCUCCAUGGAUGCUCCUCUGGUCUCGGCCUCCUGGGGGCAUCGGGUAGUCCCCCGACAUUAGCACUGGUUUCUCUUCUGCUUCCCUGUUUCUUGCUCUCAAAUCUCAAAACUCAGCACUUGGCCAGCCUGGGGGCCGGCUCCGUGGUGUUGGCAGAGAGCCUGGGGGUCCCCCGGCGUCUCCGGGCUCCGUGUGCUCACCCUGUGUCGGAGGCCGGCACCAGCCGGAGGGUUUGGGGCAGGGAACACAGAGCGAGGUGGGGCUCCCAGCCUGAGCUCCUGACGGCGCGGGGAGAUGUGGGAUGUGCCUUGCAGGACACCGAGGACCCAGAGCGUCGCCCCAGGGACACGGGCCUGGCCUUGGGAGCCCGAAGGCACACGGAGGGGGCGGCCGGCGAGCGGGGCUGGUGGGCGUCAGGGCGGGGUGGGGGGGGACGCCGGGGCUUCUGCUCCCUUGGUGGGGACCCCGGGAUGCUCAUUCUGCAGCUCCCACCGCGCAGACGGCUGCAGCCCCGUGAGGCCGCAGAUUGCCGGAUUUGCACCCAGGACAGCGUCCCCUGUGGCCCUUCCUGAGCCCCCCCGCGGCCGCGCCUCCCCGCGUGGAAGCCCCGCUCAGCCGGCUGCGGGGGGUCUCGGUGGACUGCUGCGGGAGCCACGGGCGUCGGCCAGCGAGGACCUGGCUGCACCCCGGGUGGGGCACAGGGCUCAGGCAGGUGCUGUGCUGAGAACUACCUGCUGUGUCACCGGAGCCCACGGAGGGUUGUAUCCGUGGUGCGAUGGGGGGGGGGGCUCUGGCCACGGGGUCCUGUGUCCCCCUGGGAUGGGCUCCCCUGGAAUCAGCGAGUGGCCAACGGCCAACCGCAGUGUCCAGACCUCCCUGGACCCAUCACCGCAGCACCCAGGCCCGCCUCCGCCCAUCACUGCGCCCACGUGGUGUCCCUGUGUCUGCAGCCCCGCCCAGUCCAUCACCACAGCCUCCAGCGGGGUCGCCGCUCACCCACGGUGCCCUACAAGCACGUGAAAACUCAGGUCCGGGGUCUCAAUGCAGUGAAAUCCUUCGGUCCUCCUCCUUAACUAACGCCCUCGGUUUUUACAACUCGCUUGAAAAACCCUUUGCUUCCUUUACUGGCUGGGGGUAGCGAGGGUUUGGGGUGAGUGAGCGUAGCUGCUCUGCCCGUGGCCCGAGGGUGGAAGGUGGAGAAGGGGCCGAGGAGACGCAGAGGGGCUGCGGGUGCCGGGUCCCCACUGGGCCAGUCCAGGGCAGUGUGGACGUUAGGGUCCCGCAGGCUCGGGCACAGGGCAGUGGACGUCGGUGGCGGCCUGUGGGUCAUCGUUUGCGGCAGGAGCCCCGGCCGGUCUUUGAGUUGGCGCAUGACCUGCUGACCCGCGAGUCCGAGGCACAGACCUGUGCACCUGUGCUCCGCGCCCUCCGAACCCUGGAGGCUGGCAGGGGGGGCAGUGGCGCGCAGUCCCUGCGCUCGGGGGCUCCGGGCUGGCCCUCAGGCCAAGCUGGCAGCUGCCUCUCCUCACGCGGUGUUUACUGCCUGGAUGGAGGACACGGGGUGGGGGGGCGUAGGAGGGGGUCUGUGUCCGUGCAGAUUCGGGGGCCCCUUUCCUCCCCGCACUGCGCGGCUUGGAGUCCACAGCAAAACCCAUGAGGACCCGGAAAACCCGCGGCCCCCUUACAAGCAGGAAGGACCCUCUGGCUCCGCACUCCUGCGCCUCGCAGACCAGGCCGGAGGCGACGUACCGACCCCAGGAGGCCCUUGGGGGACGGCCAAGGAAGUCGGCCUGCGGAGGGCGAGACGGCCCCGGGGAAUCGCGGCUGGUGCUGGGCAGGGAGGCCGUCGGGAGCGUCCCUUCUGGGAGACGAACGCUGACGUCCCUCCCGGGGGUGUCGUAACACCUGCAGCGCCCAUUCGGAUGGGUCGGCGCGUCAACUGCGCCUCUACGCCAAAUAAUAAGAGAGUGACAGUUACUGAAUCCAUGUGGUGACCCCGCAUGACUCCUGCGGCUCUUGCAUUAGGUGACUUUUCACAAUAAGAAGGGAGGAAGUUGCACCGUGUGGGUCAAGAGCAGAAGUAACGGAUCCACCGGGUCGGGGAGGCAAAGCCCCGGGAGGGCGGCCCACUCACAAGUCGGGGGGCAGGUGCGCACGCAGGGGGAGGUGCAGUGCGCAGGCCGGGCGACGGGGUCUUCAUAACGAAGACGGGGUCUUCGUAUCCGAGGAGCAGACAUGGACGACAGGCCCUGGGUGACUCAGCGGCUCAGCCUGUGACUCUUGAUUGUGGCUCCAGUUGUGACCUCAGGGGCGUGGGCUGGAGCCUCCCAUCCGGCUCGGCGUGGGGCUCCGUGCUGGGCUUGGGGUCUGCUCCAGGCUCUGUCUGUCCCUCUGCACCCUGCCCCUACUCGUGCUCGCUCAUGCAAGCUCUCUCCCAUAAAAAAAAAAAAGAAAGAAAAGAAAAAAAGAAAAGAAAAGAAAAGAAAAGAAAAGAAAUAAAGGAAGAAAAAAAAAGAGAAGUGAGAGCCAAUGGCGCCCCAGCGCGGGGGUGGGAGGGCGACUGGGCAGGGAACAGAAAGAUUGAGCGUAGUUAGCACCGCCCACGGCCCGAGUGUGAGAGCGUGGCCUGGACUCCAGACAAAAGUAACGACCUGGCGCGUCCCUAGAAACCUUCUGGAAGUAGUUUCCAAUGACACCGGAGCGCAAGACGCUGCGCCGACCGCUCCCAGAAAAGGGCAAUCUUCCAUCUGCACGAUACACGGAGGAACAGGUUUUGCGUUACAGACCCCUCGGCAAUGCUAGGUAUUUUCCUAAGGUUGCAUCCUGCACUGUUUGAGUGAAGAAAGUAAGAAUUGGAGAAUAUUAUUCCCAGCCAAAUUACUUGUGAUAUGCGGUGUAAAAGUAUUCUCGGGUUCGGGCACGGAUGACGUAACCUCUAUGGGAGAAAGUUACGUCUUCACGGGGCUCGUUUGACCAAGAGCUGAGUUUGGAACAUGAAACUGGAGAAGUCACAUCCAGGCGUACCUGUGGGCCCCCCUCGCUGGAUCUGGACCCCAGUUUUAGUAAGAUGGUCUGACGAUGGGAGCCCAGAGGGAAGCAUGAGCACGUGGGGUCCCCGUAGCUCUCCUUCCCCCACGUCUGUCCUUCCCUGCGCUGGGCGGUGUCACGGGGAGGGAGCGCACCGCCCCAGGUCGGAGGAGCCCACGGGCCGGGGACACGCACCACUCCAGGUCCAAGUAACGGACGGGCCGGGGACAUGCACCACCUGAGGUCGGAGGAGCCCGUGGGCCGGGGACAUGCACAGCCCAGGGUGCUGGGCUCUCCAAAGCGCAAACACGCUCACUGGCUGACGUGGCGAGCGGCGUGGCUGUGACAUCCCGGAGCAUGCAGGGAAGGGAGGAGUGUCCCCGGCGCCGUUUCCAAGCCCUGGGACUCCCAGAGCCCUCUGCUCAGCGCUGCUCCUGGCUCUGGGGACACAGCUUCUGCCACCCAGCCCUGUCUGGGGGGUGACAACCCCCCUCCCCAGGUGACUGGAACAGCUGGGGUCUUCUCACGAGUGGCCCUCAAGCGACUGAGCUUCCAUUAUCUUUGCGGCUGCAGAGGAGCUGGGGAUCAUUGUGUUUGCUGCUUGGGGCUGAGGACUAUCACUUGCUUCCUGGGGAUUAAAAUCCAGAGGAGCAGGGCACCCGGGUGGCUCAAGUUCUGACCUCAGGGCCCUGUGGUGGAGGCCCGGCCCUGCCCCAGCUGCCUUGAGUCUCUCAAGCCCUUGGGAAACAGGCUUGGGGUUCGGCCAGGGGGAGGGAGCACUGUGCCAGGAGUCCGGGAGCAGGGGCUGAGCUCCUCCUCGCCAGCUGGGCUGUGCCUUUGGACGGUUGCUCUGCGGCUCCUCUGCAGCUCAGGACGGGGGGGGGGGGGGGGGGGGGGGGGGGGGCGGCUGCACCGGCCUGGAGGUCUGCAAGGACGGUCCAGGGGCGGC
This 4660-nucleotide long non-coding RNA is filed under the name Canis lupus familiaris (dog). Its description in RNAcentral is "lncRNA (ENSCAFG00040009996.1)". The record is from RNAcentral. Lineage: Eukaryota; Metazoa; Chordata; Mammalia; Carnivora; Canidae.